This 381-nucleotide ribosomal RNA is filed under the name uncultured Streptococcus sp. RNAcentral describes it as "bacterial SSU rRNA". It matches the Rfam family "Bacterial small subunit ribosomal RNA", at positions 996 to 1382 of the family's 1533-position model. The record is from RNAcentral. Lineage: Bacteria; Bacillati; Bacillota; Bacilli; Lactobacillales; Streptococcaceae.
AUUUCUAGAGAUAGAAGUUACUUCGGUACAUCGGUGACAGGUGGUGCAUGGUUGUCGUCAGCUCGUGUCGUGAGAUGUUGGGUUAAGUCCCGCAACGAGCGCAACCCCUAUUGUUAGUUGCCAUCAUUCAGUUGGGCACUCUAGCGAGACUGCCGGUAAUAACCGGAGGAAGUGGGGAUGACGUCAAAUCAUCAUGCCCCUUAUGACCUGGGCUACACACGUGCUACAAUGGUUGGUACAACGAGUUGCGAGUCGGUGACGGCGAGCUAAUCUCUUAAAGCCAAUCUCAGUUCGGAUUGUAGGCUGCAACUCGCCUACAUGAAGUCGGAAUCGCUAGUAAUCGCGGAUCAGCACGCCGCGGUGAAUACGUUCCCGGGCCUU